AUAUAAUGAUAAGGACAUCUUCUCAGCAAAUCCUUAUAUCUUUCCCAUGCAUCAUAAAGAUAUUCGCCAUCUUGUUGAACAAAAGAGGUGAUUUCACUUCACAACUU
This is a small nucleolar RNA of Abrus precatorius (Indian licorice), 107 nucleotides long. The record is from RefSeq and is a predicted model, not a curated record. Lineage: Eukaryota; Viridiplantae; Streptophyta; Magnoliopsida; Fabales; Fabaceae.